RNAcentral lists this ribosomal RNA (252 nucleotides) under uncultured bacterium. RNAcentral describes it as "partial 16S ribosomal RNA". It matches the Rfam family "Bacterial small subunit ribosomal RNA", at positions 524 to 776 of the family's 1533-position model. The record is from RNAcentral.
UACGUAGGUGGCAAGCGUUGUCCGGAAUUAUUGGGCGUAAAGCGCGCGCAGGCGGCUUCUUAAGUCCAUCUUAAAAGCGUGGGGCUCAACCCCAUGAGGGGAUGGAAACUGGGAAGCUGGAGUAUCGGAGAGGAAAGUGGAAUUCCUAGUGUAGCGGUGAAAUGCGUAGAGAUUAGGAAGAACACCGGUGGCGAAGGCGACUUUCUGGACGAAAACUGACGCUGAGGCGCGAAAGCGUGGGGAGCAAACAGG